GCCAGACUCGUCUUGAACUCCUGACCUCAUGAUCCGCCACCUCGGCCUCCCAAAGUGCUGGGAUUACAGUGCUUUUAUGCAGAUGACUGAACCCGUGGAGUUAGGCGGCUGAGAGGAUACAGC
This 123-nucleotide long non-coding RNA is filed under the name Callithrix jacchus (white-tufted-ear marmoset). Its description in RNAcentral is "lncRNA (ENSCJAG00000069866.1)". Lineage: Eukaryota; Metazoa; Chordata; Mammalia; Primates; Cebidae. The record is from RNAcentral.